GAUGAACGCUGGCGGCGUGCCUAAUACAUGCAAGUCGAGCGAACAGACGAGGAGCUUGCUCCUCUGACGUUAGCGGCGGACGGGUGAGUAACACGUGGAUAACCUACCUAUAAGACUGGGAUAACUUCGGGAAACCGGAGCUAAUACCGGAUAAUAUAUUGAACCGCAUGGUUCAAUAGUGAAAGACGGUUUUGCUGUCACUUAUAGAUGGAUCCGCGCCGCAUUAGCUAGUUGGUAAGGUAACGGCUUACCAAGGCAACGAUGCGUAGCCGACCUGAGAGGGUGAUCGGCCACACUGGAACUGAGACACGGUCCAGACUCCUACGGGAGGCAGCAGUAGGGAAUCUUCCGCAAUGGGCGAAAGCCUGACGGAGCAACGCCGCGUGAGUGAUGAAGGUCUUAGGAUCGUAAAACUCUGUUAUUAGGGAAGAACAAAUGUGUAAGUAACUAUGCACGUCUUGACGGUACCUAAUCAGAAAGCCACGGCUAACUACGUG
Molecule: ribosomal RNA, 497 nt
Filed under: uncultured bacterium
Lineage: Bacteria
Description: partial 16S ribosomal RNA
Rfam family: Bacterial small subunit ribosomal RNA
Source: RNAcentral